GGGCCCGGGGCCCGGCGGGUAGGCGCCCGGGGCGGGGCGCGAACGGGCAAGGUCCGCGGCUGGCCACGCCCACUGGCGGGCCAGGACCGCCCACGGCUGGCCGACCGCCCACCGACCGCCCCGGCCCGCUGGCGCAGAUUAUUUAAUUCUCCUUCCUUGAAAAGGUGGUGCCCGAUUCCCCUCCUACACCCCUUGAGGACUAGCUUCUAAGCAUCAGAGGGAAGCAGAUGGAGUGCAGCGAGGACACGGAGACAAGGAAUCCAGGUGCUCUACCAGCUGCCCCACGAAGGCGCCAUUCUGAAAGCCGGCCCUUUGGAGACGGCGGCCCCAGCAGACACCUCACCUGCGGCCACAGGACAUUCCAAGCCGGACCGUCUAGUGCGACUGCUCCCGAGCCCCUCACCCACAGAAACAGCAAGAAAAGACCUGUUGCUUUAAACCACUGAGUCUCAAGUUAAUUCAUUCUGCAGCAAUAUAGCUCACCCUGACUUAGGGUUCCUUCUUGACUUCUGCCUUUUUUCUGAAGUCCUUCCUCCAGAAUUUCCUUUAGUGAAGUCCCGUGGGUGGUAAACUCACAUUUCGGGCUGUGGGGGGAGGAAAUGUUUUUAUUUAUGUUACCCUCAUUCUCGAAAGGGUUUCCCUGGGUCUGGCCUUGUGGGUUGGUGGUUACGUUGCCUUGGCCAUCGCCUUCCUCUCCCCCGGCCUCUCAUGAGCUCCCUGGUAGGCAACUGCUUUCCUCCCUGGAUUCUUUCAUGAUCUUGCGAGGGAGAAUGUGCCUUUCUUCCUAUUCAGCCUGGCUGGCAUUUGCUGGGAUUUCUGGAUCAGGGAACGGAGGUUUUUUAGACAAUUCUGGAAAACUUAAAACCAGUUUAUCAUCAUAUAGCCCCUCCUUCC
This is a long non-coding RNA of Zalophus californianus (California sea lion), 894 nucleotides long. RefSeq lists it as uncharacterized. Lineage: Eukaryota; Metazoa; Chordata; Mammalia; Carnivora; Otariidae. The transcript has 3 exons. The record is from RefSeq and is a predicted model, not a curated record.